This 1470-nucleotide long non-coding RNA is filed under the name Pan troglodytes (chimpanzee). RNAcentral describes it as "lncRNA (ENSPTRG00000053487.1)". The record is from RNAcentral. Lineage: Eukaryota; Metazoa; Chordata; Mammalia; Primates; Hominidae.
CUUGUAGCAGUUUUACUUUGUAGAAAUAUGUCAAAAUUGAUAAGUGAUGAUAUUUUUAUUGAGGCUAAUAUAUUAUCCUUUGGUGCCAUGAAUGGAUGAAGAAACUUUUGGAAGGCUAAACUAGUGGAUACAAGAAACUUAAGCAAAUUAUUACACCACCUGGGUGUGAGAGAUAAUGAAUAUUAUCUACUAGGUAUCAGCAAACAGGUGUCCAAGGUGAUCAAUUCAGGACUCUUCCACUGAAGAGAUGUGAAGUGUAAGUUUAACUGAAGUAUCAUUGCAAUUGUGUGCCUUCUCAGUUAUUGGGCAAUUUAAAGAGCAUGAUGAAUGUUUUUAGUAUAAUGGUGUAAAUCCUUUUGAUUUGUUGCAUGAAAGACAUGUGGGAUCAUGUAGCACCUGCUUUGGCAUUGAUUCUCAGGUGUGUGAGUUGCUCCUCUGAUUUUAGAUCACAUUUGUUCUCAUCACUAGGCCUACGCACAUUGAUAUUGACACAGUUUUAUUUUACUUUUUGACAUAUGAGAAAUCAUACCAUGUUUGAAAUUGUAAGGGUAUAUUUCAUGGAGCCUGUAUUCCCUUUUCUCAGUGCAUUUCUGUCAUGUUCUAAUCCCCAGACACAAAGUAGAAGCCAUCAAAGCCUACGCUAAUACAGGCAGGAGGACAGAGUUUGAUGCUAACACUGCAUGAAUGUGUGGAUAUCUUUGUCAUAUUUACAUAUGAGUGAUUAUGAAUCCCUUUUGCUUUUCAGUGUCUUCUCAGAAACCACCAGCCUUGAAGGUAAUGAAACUCUCAUUUAUAUUGUGAACUAGUUAAUGUAUGGUCUAUGAAACAUACUUUAUUUAUUUAUUAUCUCAUUUCAAAUUCCAUUCAGGCUACAAGUGUCAAGGAAGAUUCUGUUUUGGAUAUAGCCAGAGAAAAAAAGGAUGGAGAAAAAUCUAGGACAGUGUCUUUUGAGCAACCACCAGGCUUGAAGGUAAUGAAACUCUCAUUUAUAUUGUGAACUAGUAAAUGUAUAGUCUAUGAAACAUACUUUAUUAAUUUAUUAUUUCAUUUCAAAUUCCAUUCAGGCUACAAGAGACGAGAAAUAUUCUCUUUUGAAUAUAGCCAGAGGAAAAAAGGAUGGAGAAAAAACUAAGAGAGGUAAUUUUGAAAAGAGAUUUAAUGUCAUGUUCAGUCCAGAUAGAUAAGAAAUUCUUUUCCCUGAAUAAAUCAGUGGGGGGCUCGUUGAAGCUGCACAUUCUGAUUUCGCCGUCCUGAGAUUCUUCAUUUCAAAUAAGUUCGUGGGUGAUGCUGUUGCUGCUGGUCUGGAACAUGAUCUUCGCAGUAAGAUUAUACACUUCCCCACAUUGAAAUUGGGAAGAAGAAAUAUGGAGAGCAGUUCAAGGCAUAAGGGGCUCUGGGGAACAACAUAAUUUUGCUUUAAUUCUCCAGCUUGUUUUCAGUAAGGGUGGAAGGAGAAAGAGAGGAAGUAUA